Selaginella moellendorffii is the source of this 3159-nucleotide RNA transcript. It is a transcript of the gene named cleavage and polyadenylation specificity factor subunit 3-I, with no coding region annotated. NCBI's taxonomy places the organism in Eukaryota, Viridiplantae, Streptophyta, Lycopodiopsida, Selaginellales, Selaginellaceae. The record is from RefSeq and is a predicted model, not a curated record. The transcript has 9 exons.
GGGCUUUUGGUUUCGCGACGAUGCUGAAGAGAAAGGAUUCGAUGGCGAGGAACGAGGGCGAGAAGAUGGAGAUUAUGCCUCUGGGAGCUGGAAGCGAGGUCGGCCGAUCGUGCUGCCACAUGACUUACAAGGGAAAGACGAUUCUGUUCGACUGUGGAAUCCAUCCCGGGUACACUGGAAUGGCCGCGUUGCCGUAUUUCGAUGAGAUUGAUCCGUCGACAAUCGACGUGCUGUUAGUAACUCACUUUCAUCUCGAUCACGCGGCCUCGCUUCCAUAUUUUCUGGAGAAGACCACAUUCAAAGGCCGAGUGUUCAUGACACACGCAACCAAAGCCAUUUACAAGCUUUUGCUCACGGACUAUGUCAAGAUCAGCAAAGGGUCUGUCGAAGACAUGCUGUAUGACGAGCAAGACGUGCUGAAAACCAUGGACAAGAUCGAGGUUAUAGACUUUCACCAAACUAUGGAGGUGAAUGGGAUACGCUUCUGGUGCUACACCGCGGGACAUGUCCUCGGGGCAGCGAUGUUCAUGGUGGAUAUAGCCGGUAUCCGGGUCUUAUACACAGGAGACUACUCCAGAGAAGAGGAUCGCCACCUCAAAGCCGCGGAAAUGCCAGAGUUUUCUCCAGACGUCUGCAUCAUAGAGUCGACUUAUGGCGUUCAGAUUCAUCAGCCGCGACACGUCCGGGAGAAGAGGUUUACGGAGACUAUAGCGCAAACCGUGUCUCACGGAGGCAGAGUUCUCAUUCCGGCUUUCGCUCUAGGACGAGCACAGGAGCUUCUGUUGAUUCUGGACGAGUACUGGGAGGCUCACCCGGAGCUGCAACACAUCCCGAUAUACUAUGCUUCGCCGCUAGCCAAGAAGUGCAUGGCAGUCUAUCAGACUUACAUCAAUUCCAUGAACGACAAGAUCAAGUCUCAGUACGAGAACUCGAAUCCCUUCAACUUCAAGCAUAUCUCUCCUCUCAAGAGCAUCGAGCAGUUCGAAGAUGUCGGGCCUUCGAUUGUUAUGGCUAGUCCAAGCGGUUUGCAGAGCGGGCUCUCUCGUCAGCUAUUCGACCGCUGGUGUCAGGACAGGAAGAACGCUUGCGUGAUACCGGGUUACGUUGUGGAAGGGACACUUGCAAAGACUAUACUCAACGAGCCGAAGGAAGUUGCCCUCGUCAGUGGCCUCGUAGUUCCGCUCAACAUGAGGGUGGUGUACAUCUCUUUUUCGGCACACGCGGACUUUGCUCAGACCAGCGCCUUCUUAGGGGAACUAAGGCCUCCGCACAUUGUUCUCGUUCAUGGAGAGCAGAACGAGAUGGGCCGUCUAAAGGUCAAGUUACAGGCGCAGUUUGCAGAACAAAACGUCAAGAUAAACUCGCCAAAGAACUGCCAACCCGUGGAGUUUUUUUUCAAAGGAGAGAAAGUUGCAAAGGCUGUUGGUAGGCUGGCGGAGAAAACACCAGACGAGGGGGGCGCAGUGAGCGGCCUGCUGAUCAAGAAGAGCUUCACGUACCAGCUGAUGGCUCCGGACGACCUUCAUGUUUACACACAGCUUUCCAGGGGCAGCAUCCAGCAGAGGCUCUCAGUCCCAUACGACGGCGCAUUUGUUGUGCUGCGACACAGGAUUGAGCAGAUGUACGACGGCGUGGAACACGUUACAAAGGCCGAGAGCCAGACACUGAGGAUCCAUGACAAGGUGACGAUUUCUCAGGAGUCAAACGAGCAUGUGGUCCUCCAGUGGGUGUCCGAUCCAGUGAGCGACAUGAUAGCGGAUUCAAUAAUUGCGAUCAUCACGAAGAUGGAUCCUCGCUUGCUGACGGACGCCAAUGGUCUGCCGAAGAUUGAGGAGGAUCUUACGGUUGUCCAGUCGCUGCUCACGUCUUUGUUUGGAGACGUCAAAGUAGACGAGGAAGGGAAGAAGCUCGUGAUUUCUGUGGACGGAGUUGCUGCCACUGUGGACUACACCAGCCGCAGCGUCGAGUGUGACGAUGACAAUCUCAAAGAACGCAUCAAAUCUGCUCUUCACAGAAUGCAUAAUGUUCUACACCCUCUGGCGAUUGAAAGCUGAUCCAACACACCUGGUCCUUCAUGUGCUCGGUACGUUUUGUGAUCAUCAUCGCAGUAACAAAAUCCAUGACUUUUAAGCCUGGAGUUUUGCGCCCGACCCGACUUGCCGACUUUUUAAGAUCUGGCAUGGUAUCGUUUCUUACUCAACCGGCACCUUUCACCAUCUGUGCAAGAUCAUAAGCUCGUCGUUGCUGACCUGUGUUGAUGUUCUCGACAAGUGUUUUUUAUAUUCGAAGAGGUGGGGAAUUAUGCUUACAACCACAAACGACUGCCGCUGCACUGGUGUUUCACACUACUCCAGAUUAAAAGAUAAAAAAAAACGAAGGAAAAGCGCAGUGUUGGCGCGUUGGUUUCCACCACCAUCGCAUGGACUGCGGACUGGAAACUCUCGUGAAGCCCAUGAAGUGGAAUCCGACGGCAUUCAGGCGUCGUCUAGUGGAGUUACAGGUAACUUUCUUCCCACCUAGCAAUGUUCCAGCAGAUGUUUCGCUUUUGGAUCCUCCGAUUUGGGGCCCCGGAAUGGAGGAGUGCGUUCCGGGACGCGGUCAGAGCGAUAUCCGGAAGACUGGACGGACUGCAUUUCUUUUCCACAGGAAAGAAAUCGUAGCGAGCACAGCACAAGAGGUUCUCUCUAUAAUGGUAGAGAUGCCAGAAGCUGCAGAGGGACUGCCAGGAGGUAUAAUUUUUGGAGCAGUGGCGCUGUGGCAGUAGCUCACAGGGCGGGCCAAGCCAACAAGGAAAGCGUCUGUGUUGGAAAUGACGCUGAAAGGAUUGGAUUUAUUCCUUCGUGCUCGAGCACAUGGAUGAAAGAGGUCGACUGGUAUGGAAAAAAGAAGAUGGGAUCGAUCUGGAAGUUUGGGAGAGAGGAUAAAAAGAUAUCAUACUACUUCAGAGUACAUUAUAGUUACGUCCAAAGAUAUUCUUCCAUUCCAGACAGACAAAGAAUUGCUUGGAGAGGGAUCCUUUGGGAAAGAUUCGAACCGGCGACCUUGGCGCUAGCAAUCAUGGGAUCUCCAUAAUCUCCGACAGUAAUUAGCAGCAGUUGUUUGCUCUAAUUGCCCACGCUAACGGGCAGGGUAGUGAAAGUUUUGGAUUGGUCCGGUCAA